This 369-nucleotide ribosomal RNA is filed under the name uncultured organism. RNAcentral describes it as "bacterial SSU rRNA". It matches the Rfam family "Bacterial small subunit ribosomal RNA", at positions 526 to 896 of the family's 1533-position model. The record is from RNAcentral.
CGUAGGUGGCAAGCGUUGUCCGGAUUUAUUGGGUUUAAAGGGUGCGUAGGCGGUUUUCUAAGUCAGCAGUGAAAUACGGCAGCUCAACUGUCGAGGUGCUGUUGAUACUGGGGAACUUGAGUACUGAUGAGGUAGGCGGAAUGGACGGUGUAGCGGUGAAAUGCUUAGAGAUCGUCCAGAACACCGAUAGCGAAGGCAGCUUACUAAGGAGUAACUGACGCUGAGGCACGAAAGUGUGGGGGAUCAAACAGGAUUAGAUACCCUGGUAGUCCACACUGUAAACGAUGAUUACUCGAUGUGUGCGACACACGGCACGCGUCUUAGCAAAAGCGAUAAGUAAUCCACCUGGGGAGUACGCCGGCAACGGUG